Molecule: ribosomal RNA, 368 nt
Filed under: uncultured bacterium
Lineage: Bacteria
Description: bacterial SSU rRNA
Rfam family: Bacterial small subunit ribosomal RNA
Source: RNAcentral
AGCGAACGCUGGCGGCAGGCCUAAUACAUGCAAGUCGAACGGAUCCUUCGGGAUUAGUGGCGGACGGGUGAGUAACACGUGGGAACGUGCCCUUUGGUUCGGAACAACUCAGGGAAACUUGAGCUAAAUACCGGAUAAGCCCUUCGGGGAAAGAUUAUCGCCAUUGGAGCGGCCCGCGUCUGAUUAGCUAGUUGGUGGGGUAAAGGCCUACCAAGGCGACGAUCAGUAGCUGGUCUGAGAGGAUGAUCAGCCACACUGGGACUNAGACACGGCCCAGACUCCUACGGGAGGCAGCAGUAGGGAAUCUUGCGCAAUGGGCGAAAGCCUGACGCAGCGACGCCGCGUGGGGGAUGAAGGUCUUCGGAUUG